AGCAGCCGCGGUAAUUCCAGCUCCAAUAGCGUAUAUUAAAGUUGUUGCAGUUAAAAAGCUCGUAGUUGAAUUUCGGGGUUAGUAGAUUGGUCAUGCCUCUGGUAUGUACUGGUUUCACUGAUUCCUCCUUCCUGAUGAACCGUAAUGCCAUUAAUUUGGUGUUGCGGGGAAUCAGGACUGUUACUUUGAAAAAUUAGAGUGUUUAAAGCAGGCAAGCGCUUGAAUACAUUAGCAUGGAAUAAUGAAAUAGGACGUUCGAUCCUAUUUUGUUGGUUUCUAGGAUUGACGUAAUGAUUAAUAGGGAUAGUUGGGGGCAUUAGUAUUCAAUUGUCAGAGGUGAAAUUCUUGGAUUUAUUGAAGACUAACUACUAGCGAAAAGCAUUUGCCAAGGAUGUUUUCAUUAAUCAAGAACGAAAGUUAGGGGAUCGAAGACGAUCAGAUACCGCCGUAGUCUUAACCAUAAACUAUGCCGACUAGGGAUCGGAUGAU
Molecule: small RNA, 489 nt
Filed under: uncultured Glomus
Lineage: Eukaryota; Fungi; Glomeromycota; Glomeromycetes; Glomerales; Glomeraceae
Description: SSU rRNA
Rfam family: Eukaryotic small subunit ribosomal RNA
Source: RNAcentral